RNAcentral lists this ribosomal RNA (775 nucleotides) under uncultured bacterium. Its description in RNAcentral is "bacterial SSU rRNA". It matches the Rfam family "Bacterial small subunit ribosomal RNA", at positions 28 to 776 of the family's 1533-position model. The record is from RNAcentral.
GACGAACGCUGGCGGCGUGCCUAAUACAUGCAAGUCGAACGCUUUGAUUUUCACCGGAGCUUGCUCCACCGAAAAUCAAAGAGUGGCGGACGGGUGAGUAACACGUGGGCAACCUGCCCAACAGAGGGGGAUAACACUUGGAAACAGGUGCUAAUACCGCAUAAUUUGUUUUUCCGCAUGGAAGAAUAAUAAAAGACGCUUCGGUGUCACUGUUGGAUGGGCCCGCGCUGCAUUAGUUAGUUGGUGGGGUAACGGCCUACCAAGACCAUGAUGCAUAGCCGACCUGAGAGGGUGAUCGGCCACACUGGGACUGAGACACGGCCCAGACUCCUACGGGAGGCAGCAGUAGGGAAUCUUCGGCAAUGGACGAAAGUCUGACCGAGCAACGCCGCGUGAGUGAAGAAGGUUUUCGGAUCGUAAAACUCUGUUGUUAGAGAAGAACAAGUGAGAGAGUUACUGUUCUCACCUUGACGGUAUCUAACCAGAAAGCCACGGCUAACUACGUGCCAGCAGCCGCGGUAAUACGUAGGUGGCAAGCGUUGUCCGGAUUUAUUGGGCGUAAAGCGAGCGCAGGCGGUUUCUUAAGUCUGAUGUGAAAGCCCUCGACUCAACCGAGGAAGGUCAUUGGAAACUGGGGAACUUGAGUGCAGAAGAGGAGAGUGGAAUUCCAUGUGUAGCGGUGAAAUGCGUAGAUAUAUGGAGGAACACCAGUGGCGAAGGCGACUCCCUGGUCUGUAACUGACGCUGAGGCUCGAAAGCGUGGGGAGCAAACAGG